AGUUCUGGAGGCCAUAAGUUUGAAAUCAAGGU
RNAcentral lists this non-coding RNA (32 nucleotides) under Homo sapiens (human). Lineage: Eukaryota; Metazoa; Chordata; Mammalia; Primates; Hominidae. The record is from RNAcentral.